CCAAUAGCGUAUAUUAAAGUUGUUGCAUUUAAAAAGCUCGUAGUUGAAUUUCGGGAUCAAUAUAACGGUCAUGCCGUUGGUGUGCACUGUUAUAAUCGGUUUCUCACCUUCUAAAGAACCGUGAUGCCAUUAAUUUGGUGUCACGGGGAAUUAGGACUGUUACCUUGAAAAAAUUAGAGUGUUUAAAGCAGGCUCACGCUUGAAUACAUUAGCAUGGAAUAAUGAAAUAGGACAUCCGAUUCUAUUUUGUUGGUUUCUAGGAUCGAUGUAAUGAUUAAUAGGGAUAGUUGGGGGCAUUAGUAUUCAAUUGUCAGAGGUGAAAUUCUUGGAUUUAUUGAAGACUAACUACUGCGAAAGCAUUUGCCAAGGAUGUUUUCAUUAAUCAAGAACGAAAGUUAGGGGAUCGAAGACGAUCAGAUACCGUCGUAGUCUUAACCAUAAACUAUGCCGACUAGGGAUCGGAUGAUGUUAAUUUUUUAAUGACUCAUUCGGCGCCUUACG
RNAcentral lists this ribosomal RNA (501 nucleotides) under uncultured Glomeromycotina. RNAcentral describes it as "partial small subunit ribosomal RNA". It matches the Rfam family "Eukaryotic small subunit ribosomal RNA", at positions 591 to 1092 of the family's 1831-position model. The record is from RNAcentral. Lineage: Eukaryota; Fungi; Glomeromycota.